Molecule: ribosomal RNA, 579 nt
Filed under: Naganishia adeliensis
Lineage: Eukaryota; Fungi; Basidiomycota; Tremellomycetes; Filobasidiales; Filobasidiaceae
Description: eukaryotic LSU rRNA
Rfam family: 5.8S ribosomal RNA (bases 157-310)
Source: RNAcentral
AAUGAUUGAACGUCUGUCGAGCUUGCUCACAGGCACAUCAUAUCCAUAACACCUGUGCACUUGUCGGAUGGCUUAGUGAAGACCGCAAGGUUGGAUCUAUCCAUCUACUUUACAUAACAAUUCUGUAACAAAUGUAGUCUUAUUAUAACAUAAUAAAACUUUCAACAACGGAUCUCUUGGCUCUCGCAUCGAUGAAGAACGCAGCGAAAUGCGAUAAGUAAUGUGAAUUGCAGAAUUCAGUGAAUCAUCGAAUCUUUGAACGCACCUUGCGCUCCUUGGUAUUCCGAGGAGCAUGCCUGUUUGAGUGUCAUGAAAACCCUCAACCCUAGAUUGGUUAAAACCUUUCUUUGGUUUGGAUUUGGACGUUUGCCGAUGAUAAGUCGGCUCGUCUUAAAAGUAAUAGCUGGAUCUGUCUCGCGACAUGGUUUGACUUGGCGUAAUAAGUAUUUCGCUAAGGACAUCUUCGGAUGGCCGCGUUGCAGGACUAAAGACCGCUUUCUAAUCCAUUGAUCUUACGAUUAAUAUUCUUGACAUCUGGCCUCAAAUCAGGUAGGACUACCCGCUGAACUUAAGCAUAUC